CGGCGAACGGGUGAGUAAUACGUUGGAACCUUCCUCGAACUCGGGGAUAACCCGCCGAAAGGCGGGCUAAUACCGGAUAGUCCCGCAAGGGUAAAGAUUUUUCGGUUCGAGAGGGGCCUGCGAAGUAUCAGCUAGUUGGUAAGGUAACGGCUUACCAAGGCUACGACGCUUAGCUGAUCUGAGAGGAUGAUCAGCCACAAUGGAACUGAGACACGGUCCAUACUCCUACGGGAGGCAGCAGUGAGGAAUCUUCCGCAAUGGGCGAAAGCCUGACGGAGCGACACCGCGUGGAGGAUGAAGGCCUUUUGGUUGUAAACUCCUUUUCUGAGGGAAUAAAUGAUGAAGUUACCUCAGGAAUAAGCACCGGCUAACUACGUGCCAGCAGCUGCGGUAAUACGUAGGGUGCAAGCGUUAUCCGGAAUUAUUGGGCGUAAAGCGUUCGCAGGCGGUUUGGCAAGUUCGUGGUAAAAUCUGGCCGCUCAACGGUCAAUGUGUCAUGAAUACUACCAAACUUGAGAGUGGCAGAGGCAACUGGAAUUCUGCAUGUAGGGGUAAAAUCCGUUGAUAUGCAGAGGAACACCAAAAGCGAAGGCAGGUUGCUGGGCCAUUUCUGACGCUGUUGAACGAAAGCGUGGGUAGCAAACAGGAUUAGAUACCCUGGUAGUCCACGCCGUAAACGAUGGAUACUCGGUGUAAGAGGGAAUCGACCCCCCCUUGUGCCUAAGCAAACGCGUUAAGUAUCCCGCCUGGGGAGUACGGUCGCAAGAUUAAAACUCAAAGGAAUAGACGGGACCCACACAAGCGGUGGAACAUGUGGUUUAAUUCG
Molecule: ribosomal RNA, 826 nt
Filed under: uncultured bacterium
Lineage: Bacteria
Description: bacterial SSU rRNA
Rfam family: Bacterial small subunit ribosomal RNA
Source: RNAcentral